AUUUAAAUAGCUUAAAAAGAGUGUAAUAUUGAAGAUAUUAUGGUGAUAUAUUAUAUCUUUAAAUA
This 65-nucleotide transfer RNA is filed under the name Apostictopterus fuliginosus. RNAcentral describes it as "tRNA-Phe". The record is from RNAcentral. Lineage: Eukaryota; Metazoa; Arthropoda; Insecta; Lepidoptera; Hesperiidae.